CUCGCGUGUCGUGUCAGCAGCCGCGGUAAUACGAAGGGUGCAAGCGUUACUCGGAAUUACUGGGCGUAAAGCGUGCGUAGGUGGUUUGUUAAGUCUGAUGUGAAAGCCCUGGGCUCAACCUGGGAAUGGCAUUGGAUACUGGCAGGCUAGAGUGCGGUAGAGGGUAGUGGAAUUCCCGGUGUAGCAGUGAAAUGCGUAGAGAUCGGGAGGAACAUCUGUGGCGAAGGCGACUACCUGGACCAGCACUGACACUGAGGCACGAAAGCGUGGGGAGCAAACAGGAUUAGAUACCCUGGUAGUCCACGCCCUAAACGAUGCGAACUGGAUGUUGGGCUCAACUUGGAGCUCAGUAUCGAAGCUAACGCGUUAAGUUCGCCGCCUGGGGAGUACGGUCGCAAGACUGAAACUUAAAUGAAUUGGCGGG
This 424-nucleotide ribosomal RNA is filed under the name uncultured bacterium. Its description in RNAcentral is "bacterial SSU rRNA". It matches the Rfam family "Bacterial small subunit ribosomal RNA", at positions 494 to 917 of the family's 1533-position model. The record is from RNAcentral.